Molecule: ribosomal RNA, 353 nt
Filed under: uncultured Glomeraceae
Lineage: Eukaryota; Fungi; Glomeromycota; Glomeromycetes; Glomerales; Glomeraceae
Description: SSU rRNA
Rfam family: Eukaryotic small subunit ribosomal RNA
Source: RNAcentral
AGCCGCGGUAAUUCCAGCUCCAAUAGCGUAUAUUAAAGUUGUUGCAGUUAAAAAGCUCGUAGUUGAAUUUCGGGGUCAGUAGAUUGGUCGUGCCACUGGUAUGUACUGGUCUUACUGGCUCCUCCUUCCUGAUGAACCGUAAUGCCAUUAAUUUGGUGUUGCGGGGAGACUGGACUGUUACUUUGAAAAAAUUAGAGUGUUUAAAGCAGGCUAACGCUUGAAUACAUUAGCAUGGAAUAAUGAAAUAGGACGUUCGAUCUUAUUUUGUUGGUUUCUAGGAUUGACGUAAUGAUUAAUAGGGAUAGUUGGGGGCAUUAGUAUUCAAUUGUCAGAGGUGAAAUUCUUGGAUUUAU